Non-coding RNA from Camelina sativa (false flax), 1278 nucleotides. NCBI's taxonomy places the organism in Eukaryota, Viridiplantae, Streptophyta, Magnoliopsida, Brassicales, Brassicaceae. The record is from RefSeq and is a predicted model, not a curated record.
AUUUUUUUUGGAUUCUUUUAAAUUUGGGUUGGCAAAAGAAUAUGAGAUUGAUUCCUUCUAAUUUGAUUCAUCUUUUUCGACAAUUAUUCUCUGAGCUCACUGUUCACUUUCUCUCUCAAAAACAAAUUUGUAGAUCUAGUUUUUAUUUGGCGUGAAUUUCGUUUUCUUAUGGUUGAUUGUUACUGUUUUCUUAUGGUUGAUCGUUUUCUUCUUAAGUUGCUCUUAUUUUUAUUUUUAUUUUUUUGGUUUAGAUCCACCGGCAAAAUCACUGAAAAAAAAAAAAAAAAGCUUCUAUUUGUUAUUCUCUCAAUUGUUUCUAUUUUUCAUUUCUCUUCUUUCUUCUUCUUCUUCUUCUUCUUCUUCAUCAGCUCUUUGAUUUUUUUGAAUCUUGAUCUGUGAGGAAAGACUCUUUGAAUCUCUCUAUCUCUCUGCUCAAGACGUGAAUUUGAGGCAAACCCAUUACGAAUGGAUCAACUCCUUCUACUUCAUUGGCUAUCACAAGACCAGCGUCCUCAGCUGCUGAUCAGGGUUUGAUGAUUCUCCAAUCUCCAAAAGUAGGGUUCUACAGGAGAUCCAAAACUAUAAAGGGUAAACGCAUGCCUUCGUCAUGUAAAGAGAAAGACCAAGUGAAAGAAGGUCAAAUUCUGUGCUACAUUGAACAACUCGGUGGCCAAUUCCAAGUCUUCUUCGUGUAAUGAUUUUUUAUUUUCUCGUUUACUCAUAUGGAACAGAGCCUGUAGGAUACAAUGAUGCUCUCAUCUCGAUCCUUCCCUCUUUCCCUGGGAUUAAGAAGCUUCAAGAAGAAAAAAAUGGUCAUCUGAGGAGGAUGAGGAGCUCAUUGCUGCUGUGAAGCGACAUGGUGAAGGCAGCUGGGCCCUUAUUGCUAAGGAAGAAUUUGAAGGAGAGCGAACACCCUCACAACUCUCACAGGUUCGUAGGAUUUUUGUUGCAGGUUCGUGUAGCUCUUCAAGUUUUUGUCAAUUUAAGACCGAUAACAGUGAGUAUCUCUCAUUAGCAGAUCACUGCUUAUGAUCAUCUGGGAGUUUACUGGAGGUCUCUCUCUCUCUCUCUCUCUCUCUCUCUCUCUCUCUCUCUCUCUAUCAUCUUCUUCUUCUUCUUCUUCAGUUGCUUCCAAUUUAAAGUCUUCCUUAUACUAUAAAGAGUGUUUUAUGUGAAAACGAUAGUAUGUAUUAGAAAGUGAUUAAUUCUUGUAUUGUUGAUUAAACAUAGUUCUUUAAUAGUUCAAUAUGUAAAGAAAUUCGUAUAAACCUUAAUUAU